AUACGUAGGGUGCGAGCGUUGUCCGGAAUUACUGGGCGUAAAGAGCUCGUAGGUGGUUUGUCGCGUCGUCUGUGAAAUUCCGGGGCUUAACUCCGGGCGUGCAGGCGAUACGGGCAUAACUUGAGUACUGUAGGGGAGACUGGAAUUCCUGGUGUAGCGGUGAAAUGCGCAGAUAUCAGGAGGAACACCGGUGGCGAAGGCGGUUCUCUGGGAAGUAACUGACGCUGAGGGGCGAAAGCAUGGGUAGCGAACAGGAUUAGAUACCCUGGUAGUCCAUGCCGUAAACGGUGGGCGCUAGGUGUAGGGGUCUUCCACGACUUCUGUGCCGUAGCUAACGCAUUAAGCGCCCCGCCUGGGGAGUACGGCCGCAAGGCUAAAACUCAAAGGAAUUGACGGGG
RNAcentral lists this ribosomal RNA (398 nucleotides) under uncultured bacterium. Its description in RNAcentral is "partial 16S ribosomal RNA". It matches the Rfam family "Bacterial small subunit ribosomal RNA", at positions 523 to 918 of the family's 1533-position model. The record is from RNAcentral.